CACAUUACAAAGACUGUCAAAUAAGAUGUGACAAACCCAAUUAUCAGGCAGCCAUCAGAUCAAGCUAAAACCACUUGCAAAAAUAAAUGGCGGUGAGCUUUAAGUUAACUUUGCCAAGUGAUCUUUAAUUUUCCAGUCAUUAUCCAGUCACUUUUGUAACAACACUUUAAAUACAUGUAGAGCAAGACAAAAAUAUGAGACGACUUCUCUCAAGGACAUAGAACAUUAAAACACACAGAGAAAGAACAGUCUUCAAGGGCACAGUUUUCUACAGAACAAGUCUCCUCAUUUACUCAGUCCUUAGGAUACUCCAACCAACCUUAGGUUUCUUUUCAGGAAUUAAAAGAAGUGGUUUAAAAAAAAAUACCUGAAGACAGAAAGUGACUCAGGACUUGGCUGUUUUCCCAUUAAAGCCAGUAAGUUUUCCAUUGGCCUUAGUGGAAGUUGGAUCAGGCCCAUCAUCAUGUCCUCUUUUGAAAAGGAAAACAGGACUGGAGAUUAUGGUUUCAAUGGAAGGGAAAACUUUCAAGCAGAUAAGCACAAGCUGCACAGAGUUAUCACCGUUGUGCAGGAACCAGGAACUGUACUCCCGAGAUGCAAACCACAAGUUGAAGAAAACGAAGGAGGCAAAGAUAUGCGAGUCGUUAUUUUGGCCACCCUUUGUGCCAUUAAAAUCUCAUUUUCUGCCUAUUAGAAUGCCCUCUCGCUGCUUAGGCAGUGGUGAUAGUCAGUGAUUAGUGUGUAAUUGAGUAUAAUUGUCUUUUCACUUUUCAUUUGUGUCAUUCUGAGCUUCUCUCUGUUUUUCAAACCACUGAGAGCAAAAAAAGGGUAGAAAGAAGAUAAAGCUGUUAAAACUCUCACUCUCAGCCCUGAAGAGAUUUCUGAUUGUAAUUAUAGAUUGCAUCCCCUUUGUGACUUUUCUCAGAAUUUAGUAGACCGCACUCCCAAACACCUGAGUGAAGCUCACACUAAUAAAAGUGUGACUCUAUAUUUCAGCAAUAACAUCAACUACAGACAGAUGCCACAUGUAGGAAAUCUAACCAACCUCUUGACACUCAAUUAUCAAGGCAAUUUAUUAACAUGAUCUCCUAAGAAAAGCUCAUGCAAAUUAGAAAAACAAUUAUAGUAUUCAUGCAUUUUUAUAUUUCCAAAGAGCAGCAAUACUCCUAAUUUAUGUAUUUAUAACUCGAUUAUAGCUCAUCCCAAUGUGUACUGCUUAUCAGCUGGAACUCUCUCUCAAUAUAACUUCUUUGUGAUUUCUAGGCCAUUUGGUAAAACCUCUUUGUUUUCCUAAAGGGACCUUAGACUAGAAAAAGUUUAUUAGCCGACAACAUACCAGACAAAAAUCAGUGUUCCUGAACUUUACCUAUGUAUGGAUCUCAAGGAACAUAACUGCACACAACAAAUGCUUGACAAUGAAAGCAGGCUGACAAUGUGCAGGACACAGCCGCUCUCUUCCCCAGGACACCAGUAAAAAUUCAGCUCAGGUUAGUAGUGACUAGCAGUGGAAAAAUGUGGGGGACUGCGAAAUUUUCCGAGUCAGAUUUUGGUGGAAAAAAAUACCUCCCACUGAUUUGAGUCUAAAUGUGAUAUUACUGAAAAUCACCAACAACGUGGUUAAAAAGUCUUAAAUUUGUCCCACUUUGAGUCAUUAUCCCAAAUGAGCCAAGCUUUAGGGAAGGGCAAGAAAAGAAUGGAGACUGGUUUUAUGAAAUCUUGUCAGUCAGGUUUUGCCUUUAAAAGAUGAAAAAUCAGGAGUGGUCUAGAUCUAAAUAUAAUUUUUCCUGCCAAAUCACCAAUGUUCACAGGACUUCUGAUAAGACUGUGACUCAUUUCUAUUAACUGAAAUGUGUUACCAUCUAGUGGCUAUUCAGUUCAUGUAUGAAAUGAGUUCAUGAUUUCAGCCCAUUAUGUACUGGAUUUCAGCCCAUUACUUACAAAAAAUGCCAAAUUUCUUUGUCCAUCAUCCAGCCCCACGUUGGUGGACCCUCAUGGUGAGAGUGGUGAGGAAUGGUGGGAUACUUAGCACAACCCUUGUGAAUGCUGUACCUGCUCCAUGUGUAAAGAAGAUCAGUCUACAGGCUGGUGCUGUCUGUCUGGUACUAUUCACUGGCAAUCAAAUCUAAUCCAGCAAAUUAAAUCAGAAUACUCACAUGCUUAAUGUAAACAGAUUUGUCAGAGUUUUGCUAGACUGAAGCCUGAAUUUACCCACUGCAUUUUUUUUAAAUUGAAGCAUAAAAUAAACAUACAUAGGAAACCAUUCAU
Alligator sinensis (Chinese alligator) is the source of this 2265-nucleotide long non-coding RNA. RefSeq lists it as uncharacterized. Lineage: Eukaryota; Metazoa; Chordata; Crocodylia; Alligatoridae. The record is from RefSeq and is a predicted model, not a curated record. The transcript has 5 exons.